GAUGAACGCUGGCGGCGUGCUUAACACAUGCAAGUCGAACGGACAGGCCACAGCUUUCUUUGGUACUCGAGUGGCGAACGGGUGAGUAACACAUGUGUGUUCUGCCCUGUACUUCGGGAUAUGCUUUGGAAACUGGGUCUAAUACCGGAUAUGAUUCACAUGUCGGUGUGUUUUUGUAAAGCUUUUGCGGUAUGGGAUGAGUUCGCGGCCUAUCAGCUUGUUGGUGGGGUAAUGGUCUACCAAGGCGUUGCCGGGUAGCCGGCAUGAGAGGGUGUACGGCCUCAUGGGGACUGAGAUACGGCCCAGACUCCUACGGGAGGCAGCAGGGGGGAAUAUUGCACAAUGGGCGCAAGCCUGAUGCAGCGACGCCGCGUGGGGGAUGACGGCCUUCGGGUGGUAAACACCUUUCGACAGAGACGAAGCGAAAGUGACGGUACCUGGAUAAGAAGCACCGGCUAACUACGUG
RNAcentral lists this ribosomal RNA (466 nucleotides) under uncultured bacterium. RNAcentral's name for it is "partial 16S ribosomal RNA". It matches the Rfam family "Bacterial small subunit ribosomal RNA", at positions 28 to 507 of the family's 1533-position model. The record is from RNAcentral.